CCUACGGGAGGCAGCAGUAAGGAAUAUUGGACAAUGGGCGAAAGCCUGAUCCAGCCAUGCCGCGUGAAGGAUUAAGGUCCUCUGGAUUGUAAACUUCUUUUAUGUGGGACGAAAAAAGGGCAUUCUUGCUCACUUGACGGUACCAUAUGAAUAAGCACCGGCUAACUCCGUGCCAGCAGCCGCGGUAAUACGGAGGGUGCAAGCGUUAUCCGGAUUCACUGGGUUUAAAGGGUGCGUAGGCGGAUAGGUAAGUCAGUGGUGAAAUCUCGAAGCUUAACUUCGAAACUGCCAUUGAUACUAUCUAUCUUGAAUAUUGUGGAGGUUUGCGGAAUAUGUCAUGUAGCGGUGAAAUGCUUAGAUAUGACAUAGAACACCGAUUGCGAAGGCAGCAGGCUACACAUAUAUUGACGCUGAGGCACGAAAGCGUGGGGAUCAAACAGGAUUAGAUACCCUGGUAGUCCACGCCCUAAACGAUGAUUACUCGACAUACGCGAUACACUGUGUGUGUCUGAGCGAAAGCAUUAGAAUCCACCUGGAGACGUCGCAAGGAUGAACUCAAAUGAAUUGACGGCUUGGAGGACGNGCGAGGCGACACGAGGGAGGAGG
RNAcentral lists this ribosomal RNA (606 nucleotides) under uncultured bacterium. RNAcentral describes it as "bacterial SSU rRNA". It matches the Rfam family "Bacterial small subunit ribosomal RNA", at positions 338 to 951 of the family's 1533-position model. The record is from RNAcentral.